RNAcentral lists this unclassified non-coding RNA (295 nucleotides) under Myxocephala sp. RNAcentral describes it as "partial contains 5.8S ribosomal RNA, internal transcribed spacer 2, and large subunit ribosomal RNA". The stretch from base 1 to 71 matches the Rfam family "5.8S ribosomal RNA", at positions 84 to 154 of the family's 154-position model. The record is from RNAcentral. Lineage: Eukaryota; Fungi; Ascomycota; Sordariomycetes.
GUGAGUCAUCGAAUCUUUGAACGCACAUUGCGCCCGCCAGUAUUCUGGCGGGCAUGCCUGUUCGAGCGUCAUUUCAACCCUCAAGCUCUGCUUGGCGUUGGGGAUCGGCAGACCGGCUUCGCGGCCGCGCCGUCCCUCAAAUACAGUGGCGGUCACGCUGCAGCCUCCCUUGCGUAGUAGCACACCUCGCACCGGAGAGCAGCGCGGCCACGCCGUAAAACCCCCGACUUCUUGUUUUUGACCUCGAAUCAGGUAGGACUACCCGCUGAACUUAAGCAUAUCAAUAAGCGGAGGA